GGAGAGGUGGCUGAGUGGCUCAAAGCGUCCUCCUGCUAAGAGGAAGCGGGUAGUUAAAUACCCGCCGCAGGUUCAAAUCCUGUCCUCUCCG
This 91-nucleotide transfer RNA is filed under the name Nostoc sp. UHCC 0702. RNAcentral describes it as "tRNA-Ser". It matches the Rfam family "tRNA". From Rfam's summary of the family: Transfer RNA (tRNA) molecules are approximately 80 nucleotides in length. Their secondary structure includes four short double-helical elements and three loops (D, anti-codon, and T loops). Further hydrogen bonds mediate the characteristic L-shaped molecular structure. tRNAs have two regions of fundamental functional importance: the anti-codon, which is responsible for specific mRNA codon recognition, and the 3' end, to which the tRNAs corresponding amino acid is attached (by aminoacyl-tRNA synthetases). tRNAs cope with the degeneracy of the genetic code in two manners: having more than one tRNA (with a specific anti-codon) for a particular amino acid; and 'wobble' base-pairing, i.e. permitting non-standard base-pairing at the 3rd anti-codon position. Lineage: Bacteria; Bacillati; Cyanobacteriota; Cyanophyceae; Nostocales; Nostocaceae. The record is from RNAcentral.